UGGGGAAUAUUGGACAAUGGAGGAAACUCUGAUCCAGCAAUUCUGUGUGUGUGAAGAAGGUUUUAGGACUGUAAAACACUUUUAGUAGGGAAGAAAAAAAUGACGGAACCUACAGAAGAAGCAACGGCUAAAUACGUGCCAGCAGCCGCGGUAAUACGUAUGUUGCGAGCGUUAUCCGGAAUUAUUGGGCUUAAAGGGCAUCUAGGCGGUAAGACAAGUUGAAGGUGAAAACCUGUGGCUCAACCAUAGGCUUGCCUACAAAACUGUUGAACUAGAGUACUGGAAAGGUGGGUGGAACUACACGAGUAGAGGUGAAAUUCGUAGAUAUGUGUAGGAAUGCCGAUGAUGAAGAUAACUCACUGGACAGAAACUGACGCUGAAGUGCGAAAGCUAGGGGAGCAAACAGG
Molecule: ribosomal RNA, 407 nt
Filed under: Verrucomicrobiota bacterium
Lineage: Bacteria; Pseudomonadati; Verrucomicrobiota
Description: Verrucomicrobia bacterium partial 16S ribosomal RNA
Rfam family: Bacterial small subunit ribosomal RNA
Source: RNAcentral